This 484-nucleotide ribosomal RNA is filed under the name uncultured bacterium. Its description in RNAcentral is "partial 16S ribosomal RNA". It matches the Rfam family "Bacterial small subunit ribosomal RNA", at positions 29 to 507 of the family's 1533-position model. The record is from RNAcentral.
AUUGAACGCUGGCGGCAUGCUUUACUCAUGCAAGUCGAACGGCAGCGCGGGCUUCGGCCUGGCGGCGAGUGGCGAACGGGUGAGUAAUACAUCGGAACGUGCCCAGUAGUGGGGGAUAGCUCGGCGAAAGCCGGAUUAAUACCGCAUACGACCUGAGGGUGAAAGCGGGGGAUCUUCGGACCUCGCGCUAUUGGAGCGGCCGAUGGCAGAUUAGCUAGUUGGUGGGGUAAAGGCCUACCAAGGCGACGAUCUGUAGCUGGUCUGAGAGGACGACCAGCCACACUGGGACUGAGACACGGCCCAGACUCCUACGGGAGGCAGCAGUGGGGAAUUUUGGACAAAGGGCGAAAGCCUGAUCCAGCAAUGCCGCGUGUGUGAUGAAGGCCUUCGGGUUGUAAAGCACUUUUGGCGGGAACGAAAAGGACUGUGCCAAUACCACGGUUCGAUGACGGUACCCGCAGAAUAAGCACCGGCUAACUACGUG